AGUGAACGCUGGCGGUAGGCCUAACACAUGCAAGUCGAACGGCAGCACAGUAAGAGCUUGCUCUUACGGGUGGCGAGUGGCGGACGGGUGAGGAAUACAUCGGAAUCUACUUUUUCGUGGGGGAUAACGUAGGGAAACUUACGCUAAUACCGCAUACGACCUACGGGUGAAAGCAGAGGAUCUUCGGACCUUGCGCGAUUGAAUGAGCCGAUGUCGGAUUAGCUAGUUGGCGGGGUAAAGGCCCACCAAGGCGACGAUCCGUAGCUGGUCUGAGAGGAUGAUCAGCCACACUGGAACUGAGACACGGUCCAGACUCCUACGGGAGGCAACAGUGGGGAAUAUUGGACAAUGGGCGCAAGCCUGAUCCAGCCAUACCGCGUGGGUGAAGAAGGCCUUCGGGUUGUAAAGCCCUUUUGUUGGGAAAGAAAAGCAGCAGGUUAAUACCCCGCUGUUCUGACGGUACCCAAAGAAUAAGCACCGGCUAACUUCGU
RNAcentral lists this ribosomal RNA (491 nucleotides) under uncultured bacterium. RNAcentral's name for it is "partial 16S ribosomal RNA". It matches the Rfam family "Bacterial small subunit ribosomal RNA", at positions 29 to 506 of the family's 1533-position model. The record is from RNAcentral.